RNAcentral lists this ribosomal RNA (1218 nucleotides) under uncultured Rhizaria. Its description in RNAcentral is "SSU rRNA". It matches the Rfam family "Eukaryotic small subunit ribosomal RNA", at positions 577 to 1805 of the family's 1831-position model. The record is from RNAcentral.
CGGUAAUUCCAGCUCCAAUAGCGUAUACUAAAGUUGUUGCAGUUAAAAAGCCCGUAGUUGGAUUUCUGCGGGGACGGAGCGGCCGGUCGCAAUUUGCGACUCGAGCUAGCGCUUUCCCCGCAUCCUGCCGCGAACCGUGCUACCAUUAGUUUGGUGGCGCUGGGGAUCGGCUCGAUUACUUUGAGAAAAAUAGAGUGUUCAAAGCAGGCCACACGCCUUGAAUAAGUUAGCAUGGAAUAAUGACUAAGGACUUUGGUUCUUUUCGUUGGUGUUCGGGACUGAAGUAAUGAUUGAUAGGGACAGUUGGGGCGGUCCGUAUUCCAAAGCGAGAGGUGAAAUUCUUAGACCUUCGGAAGACGAACAGCUGCGAAAGCGUUCCGCAAGGAUGUUCCCUUUGAUCAAGAACGAAAGUUGGGGGAUCGAAGACGAUCAGAUACCGUCGUAGUCUCAACUAUAAACUAUACCAGCUAGGGAUCGGCCAACGUUUAAUUUAUCGACUUGGUCGGCACCUUAUGAGAAAUCAAAGCAUCUGGGUUCCGGGGGGAGUAUGGUCGCAAGGCUGAAACUUAAAGGAAUUGACGGAAGGGCACCACCAGCCGUGGAGCCUGUGGCUUAAUUUGACUCAACACGGGAAAACUUACCAGGUCCAGACAUAGGAAGGAUUGACAGAUUGAUAGCUCUUUCUUGAUUCUGUGGGUGGUGGUGCAUGGCCGUUUUUAGUCGGUGGAUGUGAUCUGUCUGCUUAAUUGCGUUAACGGACGAGACCCCAGCCUGCUAAAUAGCGCGGCCGAGCUUUGCUCGGUGCGAGCUUCUUAGAGGGACCAUGAUGCGCGAUAGCACAAGGAAGUUUGGGGCAACAACAGGUCUGUGAUGCCCUUAGAUGUUCUGGGCCGCACACGGGCUACACUGGCGCCUGCAACGAGCAUAUCAGCUGGCCCGAGAGGGUCUUGGCUAAUCUUUGGAACCGGCGCCGUGCUUGGGAUUGACCAUUGCAAUUGUUGGUCAUGCAACGAGGAAUGCCUUGUAAACGCGAGUCAUCAGCUCGCGUUGAAUACGUCCCUGCCCUUUGUACACACCGCCCGUCGCUCCUACCGAUGAAUGUUCCGAUGAAAUUUUCGGAGAGCACCAGAGAACGGGGCUCCGCCUUGCAGAUCUGGAGGCUCAAAGUCACUUAAAUCUGAACAUUUCGAGGAAGGAGAAGUCGUAACAAGGUAGCCG